CCAGGAAGUAACAAGACAAUGUCUGACAGCUAGGGAGUUGUAACAAGGUUUAUUCAAAAAGAUCCAAUUUCUUUUGAAAACUGGAAAGAACACUCUUUACACACACACACAACAUUUCAGCCAGCUAUAGUUCUCUAGAGGCCCCUUUAAAUUUAAAACUCACUUUGAAUUUCAAGCAAUUCUCACUUUACUGAAUAAACCUGUGUAUGUAUUUUUUUUUUUUGUCAAAAUGUAGCAAAAUAAACCAUUUAUAUUGCCAUGUGUUGCAAUGUCCAUUUUCACAUUAUGACAGUUGAUGUGAAUACACAUCUUUCAUAAAGUGCAAAAGAUGGCUAUGGAAUCUUAUGGCACAUGUGGCAGAUCACCUAUAGUAGCCCACAGUCUUGCCUUGGACCCUCAGUUUGCCGUGUACCUGCAUGGCAAUAUGAAAUCUUCUGGCAGAACUAGCCUACAGGAGCAUAGCCAGGCCAAAGAAGGUGGUGGUAGCACCGAGGACAGAACAAGGUUCAGGUAGGUAUCUCUUUUCCAUCUCUCCUCACAAGCAGAAGUGUGCACAGAGAAAUGGUCCACUAAGUACAAUAUUUUCCACGACUGCAUCACUGCCAUAAAUUGUUCAGCUGUGAGAGAGACAACCAAAAUCCUCCAAUUUGAUCGAAUAAUCACUAAGUUUUCUAUGAUCCUUGUACCUCUUCUUUCUCGGCUUUAAAGAACCUGACUAUUCGUAAGGGAAACCAAUUAGUUUUUUUUGUGCACAGCUAUUUUUUUCUGUAGUAUUUUCAGUGUGUCACAUGAAAUCACAUGCUCUUGCAGUGAUCAGGUUCACAGAAGCAUAUUUGGAAUCCCAAAAAUAAACAUUCCAAGCCAGAUAAUACCAAAAAUAGCGUUACCAGCUGCAGAUUCCCAGAUAGGAUUUGGAGAAAUUGCAUUGGGGGGCGAGGGGAGGAAAUCUUAGAGAACACAAAGUGAGGUUAUAAUUAACAGCUAAUCACAUUAAUAGUACACACAUUUUCUGUUUUAUGAAGGGAUGAUUCAAGUACCAUAACCUUUCUUUUUUGCAAACAUGCCCCCUUCUAUGUGCGUGUGUAAUAUGUAUAUUUUAUGUUUAGUGCACAGCAUUAACGUUCCUGCUUCCUUUGGCAAGCUGACCAAUUUUUUUUUUUACGUCUUCAUGCAUUCAUCUACAUAGUGAGUUAAAUGUUAGGGGAAUUCUCCAUUUAAACCAUCUAUGCAAAUUCUACGGCAUUAAUUAGAUUUGGG
Molecule: non-coding RNA, 1257 nt
Organism: Pelobates cultripes (western spadefoot toad)
Lineage: Eukaryota; Metazoa; Chordata; Amphibia; Anura; Pelobatidae
Source: the annotation of a GenBank genome assembly